This 50-nucleotide transfer RNA is filed under the name Campanula pyramidalis. Its description in RNAcentral is "partial tRNA-Leu". Lineage: Eukaryota; Viridiplantae; Streptophyta; Magnoliopsida; Asterales; Campanulaceae. The record is from RNAcentral. RNAcentral also lists the same sequence under 5 other names.
UCCGUCGAUUUUAAAAAUCAUGAGGGUUCAAGUCCCUCUAUCCCCAAAAA